RNAcentral lists this ribosomal RNA (468 nucleotides) under uncultured bacterium. RNAcentral's name for it is "partial 16S ribosomal RNA". It matches the Rfam family "Bacterial small subunit ribosomal RNA", at positions 28 to 507 of the family's 1533-position model. The record is from RNAcentral.
GACGAACGCUGGCGGCGUGCUUAACACAUGCAAGUCGAACGGAAAGGCCCUGCUUUUGUGGGGUGCUCGAGUGGCGAACGGGUGAGUAACACGUGAGUAACCUGCCCUUGACUUUGGGAUAACUUCAGGAAACUGGGGCUAAUACCGGAUAGGAGCUCCUGCUGCAUGGUGGGGGUUGGAAAGUUUCGGCGGUUGGGGAUGGACUCGCGGCUUAUCAGCUUGUUGGUGGGGUAGUGGCUUACCAAGGCUUUGACGGGUAGCCGGCCUGAGAGGGUGACCGGCCACAUUGGGACUGAGAUACGGACCAGACUCCUACGGGAGGCAGCAGGGGGGAAUAUUGCACAAUGGGCGGAAGCCUGAUGCAGCAACGCCGCGUGCGGGAUGACGGCCUUCGGGUUGUAAACCGCUUUCGCAUGGGACGAAGCGUGAGUGACGGUAAUGGGUAAAGAAGCACCGGCUAACUACGUG